CCUACGGGGUGCAGCAGUGGGGAAUAUUGCACAAUGGGGGGAACCCUGAUGCAGCGACGCCGCGUGGGUGAAGGAGUAUUUCGGUAUGUAAAGCCCUAUCAGCAGGGAAGAACAAUGACGGUACCUGACUAAGAAGCACCGGCUAAAUACGUGCCAGCAGCCGCGGUAAUACGUAUGGUGCAAGCGUUAUCCGGAUUUACUGGGUGUAAAGGGAGCGCAGGCGGCGCGUUAAGCCUGGUGUGAAAGCCCGCGGCCCAACCGCGGGACUGCAUUGGGAACUGGCGCGCUGGAGUGCCGGAGGGGUAGGCGGAAUGCCUAGUGUAGCGGUGAAAUGCGUAGAUAUUAGGAGGAACACCAGUGGCGAAGGCGGCUUACUGGACUGUAACUGACGUUGAGGCUCGAAAGCGUGGGGAGCAAACAGGAUUAGAUACCCGUGUAGUC
Molecule: ribosomal RNA, 441 nt
Filed under: uncultured bacterium
Lineage: Bacteria
Description: partial 16S ribosomal RNA
Rfam family: Bacterial small subunit ribosomal RNA
Source: RNAcentral